GUUUGACUACUGUUAUUUUCUUUUUUUUUGUAUUAUGAUGAAUAUAAGUUUGAAGUAUUGAAUAGUGCUUCUAAUCAAAAUCCGUUGUACCGUAGCGGGCGUACCGUACCAGGCAGAUAUACCAUACCAUACUGGUACCGAACCAAUACGCGGUCUUGUAUCGUAUCGACACUUGGUACGUCUCACCGUCUUGUACCAUACCAUGUACUAACAUUGUAAUAAGAAGGUACCGGUACGGGGUCUAGUACCGAGACAACAAACCUUCUAAUAAUUUAUUCUUUUUAUUAGUUAAGUAAUGGAUGUAUUUGUCUUUCAAACUGUGGCAUUGAAGUAGAUAUUUAAAAUUCAAAGAAUAAAUUUCCAUUCAAUUAUGAUAAUAUGCAUAGAUCAUCCAUAAAUUAUUGUUGAAUAUAAUUUUCCUUGCUUUCAAAGAGAUAUUUUUAUAUAACUAGUUUUAAUAUAUGUCUUAUGUUAAGUCCUAUUUGGAAAAAUUCUAAAUUUAUCCC
RNAcentral lists this long non-coding RNA (506 nucleotides) under Phoenix dactylifera (date palm). RNAcentral's name for it is "long non-coding RNA (PDAC_LNC019167)". Lineage: Eukaryota; Viridiplantae; Streptophyta; Magnoliopsida; Arecales; Arecaceae. The record is from RNAcentral.